Molecule: long non-coding RNA, 481 nt
Filed under: Ursus thibetanus thibetanus
Lineage: Eukaryota; Metazoa; Chordata; Mammalia; Carnivora; Ursidae
Description: lncRNA (ENSUTTG00000005955.1)
Source: RNAcentral
GACUCUCAUGACAGGACAACGGGGCCCGCUAUCCCACUGCUCCUUUUAUCCGACUCCAGGAACAACAUCGUAUCGUCUUCAGGAAGAUUUUGGCGAGAACGGGCAUAAUUCGCUUCCCCAAGCCCCAAAGUUGGGUUUCUGACCCGGCGCAUGUGCUGGACGCCUCGGGGCGGAGCCUGGGCUGGCGCGUGUGGCGGGCACUGCGAGCGGCGCGCACUAUAAAGCGGGACGCGCGGCCACUCGCGCAUGCUUUCGAGAGAGGGAGCGCCUGGUGCAUCUUCAAGCUGAGGGACCACCCACUACAACCCCAUCUUGGGUCCUCCUUGGAGCUGAACAGAGGAAGGAGGAGAAACAGCCCCGGGGUUGGGGGUAGGACGGUGCUGGAGUCAGUUGCUGCAGAUCAUACGAGUGACACGCAUGGACGAGCCGUAGUGAGGGGUGGUCAAGGGGAGCUGAGGGGGGCAGGGGGAGUAUGGGCCAC